CCGCAACUGUCUGUAUCCCAACCGCACCUCACACUCUGUCGUUGCCCCUUCAGAUCUUCUACUCUUUGUGGACCUGUCCGAAGCCAUCUCGAAUACACCACACCCUGCGGGCUCUUCCGAAAGUAUUAAGAAAUCAUCCAUCGCUAAUCCCUCAGUGAUUGUACCGAUAGAAUCCCUCUCAUCUCCUCUUUUUUUCUGAAGCGGA
Molecule: long non-coding RNA, 205 nt
Filed under: Elaeis guineensis (African oil palm)
Lineage: Eukaryota; Viridiplantae; Streptophyta; Magnoliopsida; Arecales; Arecaceae
Description: long non-coding RNA (EGUI_LNC029309)
Source: RNAcentral